This 302-nucleotide long non-coding RNA is filed under the name Pan troglodytes (chimpanzee). Its description in RNAcentral is "long non-coding RNA NONPTRT010849". The record is from RNAcentral. Lineage: Eukaryota; Metazoa; Chordata; Mammalia; Primates; Hominidae.
GUGAGAUGAAGGCUGGAGCAUCUGAGAGUUCUUUGCUCAGUGUCAAAUCAUACUGACACUUGACGAUUCCUUCCUUGGUUUUGCCUAUGCAGGUGAGGAUUCCUUCAUCUCUGUGACUGGCUUGCUUGAUGGUUAGGGUCUGAUCGCUGCCUGAGACACCAUAUCGGUACUCCUCAGAGUUGGUGAUCACAGGAUCUGGUUUGCCACUGAAAGGAAUCUUGAUGCUGACCACUUCACCUCGGAGAGCAUGAACUGCUCCCAUGCCUUCAAGAGUUUUAGGUAAGUGUAUCUUAGCUGGAACU